CGUGUCAUCUCGCGAGAUCGCGCUCGAUAAAUCCGAUUCGAAUUUCAACGACGUUCGACAUCACGCGUUUCAAAAUUCUUCUCACCGUGUGUAGGUGGAAUUCAGCUUCGCGAACGAUCCGUCGAUCGUUCCCGGACGGUUUUGACGCGACUUGAACGCUUCUUCAUUUACGAGAAGAGUCAAAUUGAUGUUUCGCUCGUCGUCGCCUCGGAGUUUCUAUCACUCACCUCGGCUUCUUGUUGGCUGAAACUGACGAUCGAUGUCUCUCGUCCGUUUCAUCGUGUUCAAGUUCUCACGCUUAAACUCGAUACAUCGCUUGAUCUCGCGCCAAGGAUCAAAUUCGGCGAGAUAGUAUAGCCCACGAUCCUUGCUACAACGAAUUCUUUCCACCGGAAGAAUACCAAAUACUCUGCGGAUAUCCAUAAAAUCUAUCUUGCCAAGCGACGAUGGCGGAGAA
RNAcentral lists this unclassified non-coding RNA (457 nucleotides) under Bombus terrestris (buff-tailed bumblebee). RNAcentral describes it as "misc RNA ENSBTSG00005022121.1". Lineage: Eukaryota; Metazoa; Arthropoda; Insecta; Hymenoptera; Apidae. The record is from RNAcentral.